CGAGUCGACCGGGCGGCCGCGUCGGCACCUUCACCGGUGCCGCCGAGGAACGUCCGGGCUCCAGAGGGCAGGGUGGUUGUUAACGGCAACCCGGGGCGACCCGCGGGACAGUGCCACAGAAAACAGACCGCCCGACCCGGGUCACGCACCGCGCGGCUCGGAUCGGGUAAGGGUGAAACGGUGGGGUAAGAGCCCACCAGCGCCCCGGGUGACCGGGGCGGCUCGGUAAACCCCACCCGGAGCAAGGUCAGACGCAGGCGUUCGAGGGCGGCCCGCCCGAGCCUGCGGGUAGACCGCUAGAGCCUGCCGGCAACGGCAGGCCGAGAUGGAUGGCCGCCCCCCGCUCACCAGCGGGGACAGAACCCGGCGUACAGGUCGACUCGUCCG
RNAcentral lists this RNase P RNA (387 nucleotides) under Dactylosporangium aurantiacum. Its description in RNAcentral is "RNase P RNA component class A". It matches the Rfam family "Bacterial RNase P class A". Rfam says of the family: Ribonuclease P (RNase P) is a ubiquitous endoribonuclease, found in archaea, bacteria and eukarya as well as chloroplasts and mitochondria. Its best characterised activity is the generation of mature 5'-ends of tRNAs by cleaving the 5'-leader elements of precursor-tRNAs. Cellular RNase Ps are ribonucleoproteins. Lineage: Bacteria; Bacillati; Actinomycetota; Actinomycetes; Micromonosporales; Micromonosporaceae. The record is from RNAcentral.